This 708-nucleotide ribosomal RNA is filed under the name uncultured Leptotrichia sp. RNAcentral describes it as "bacterial SSU rRNA". It matches the Rfam family "Bacterial small subunit ribosomal RNA", at positions 56 to 781 of the family's 1533-position model. Lineage: Bacteria; Fusobacteriati; Fusobacteriota; Fusobacteriia; Fusobacteriales; Leptotrichiaceae. The record is from RNAcentral.
UGCAAGUCGAUAGGGAAGCGGUGCUUGCACCGUGAAACCAUGGCGGACGGGUGAGUAACGCGUAAAGAACUUACCGAAUGGACUGGGAUAACAGCUGGAAACGGCUGAUAAGACCGGAUAUUAUGAACUUGUUGCAUAGUGAGUUUAUGAAAAGAGAUGCCAUUUGAGAGCUUUGCGUCCUAUUAGCUAGUUGGUAAGGUAACGGCUUACCAAGGCGAUGAUAGGUAGCCGGCCUGAGAGGGUGGACGGCCACAAGGGGACUGAGAUACGGCCCUUACUCCUACGGGAGGCAGCAGUGGGGAAUAUUGGACAAUGGGGGCAACCCUGAUCCAGCAAUUCUGUGUGCGCGAAGAAGGUUUUCGGAUCGUAAAGUGCUUUCAGCAGGGAGGAAGAAAGUGACUGUACCUGCAGAAGAAGCGACGGCUAAAUACGUGCCAGCAGCCGCGGUAAUACGUAUGUCGUGAGCGUUAUCCGGAAUUAUUGGGCAUAAAGGGCAUCUAGGCGGCCAGAUAAGUCCGAGGUGAGAACUGCCGGCUCAACCAGCAGCUUGCCUUGGAAACUACCUGGCUAGAGUAUUGGAGAGGUGGACGGAACUACACGAGUAGAGGUGCAAUUCGUAGAUAUGUGUAGGAAUGCCGAUGAUGAAGAUAGUUCACUGGACGAUAACUGACGCUAAAGGGCGAAAGCUAGGGGAGCGAACAGGAUUAG